This 253-nucleotide ribosomal RNA is filed under the name uncultured bacterium. Its description in RNAcentral is "partial 16S ribosomal RNA". It matches the Rfam family "Bacterial small subunit ribosomal RNA", at positions 524 to 776 of the family's 1533-position model. The record is from RNAcentral.
UACGUAGGGGGCAAGCGUUGUCCGGAAUCAUUGGGCGUAAAGAGCGUGUAGGCGGCCAGGUAGGUCUGCUGUGAAAACUCGAGGCUUAACCUCGAGAUGUCGGCGGAAACCAUCUGGCUAGAGUCCGGAAGAGGAGAAUGGAAUUCCCGGUGUAGCGGUGAAAUGCGCAGAUAUCGGGAGGAACACCAAUGGCGAAGGCAGCUCGCUGGAACGGUACUGACGCUGAGGCGCGAAAGCGUGGGGAGCGAACAGG